GGAUCGUCACUACCAAAUUCUAGCAUUUAUAGUCAAUGUUAAUUCCAAUCUUGACGUCACGUAUCACGUUAAUUCAUUAACUCAUUAAAGUACAUAUUCACUUUUUUCCUUCAAACUGGUGAAAAUUCAAAGCAAAAAAGCGCAUGUGCGAUCAGUUGAGAAUAGUCUGUUUUUCUCUGGUUACGUGCCUUUAAAUCGCAAUUGCCAAACGCCAAAAGGGAAGAGAAUCACAAGGAAAUGUGAAAACGUCACUUAAGGUGGGGUAAGAAUAAUAUAGCCCUUGUAAUUUUCAACGUCAUAGGCUAGUGGCGUGCAUUAGGGGGACACAAAUUCUUAUAAAAUGAAGACAAAUCAAAAUUGGAACCAGUCGAGUGGACUCAUCGAUCGGCAACGGUAGGAAGGAGAGUGUCACACUCACACAGCCGUUCACUAUCCAGUCCACAUAAUCUUACAGUCAUGGUCCUAAACAAAAUGAACCAAUUGAACCACGUUCGACUAACUACCCGCGUUCUUCCGAAGACAAAACAAACUCUGCAACGACUCUCUCCAACAUUAACGAGACGAUGGAGUCACCGAAACUGCAUCUUGUGCAGCUUGAUACUCGAAUCGCCUCAAUGUGUCCCCCAUAACGGUCAAAAUGUAGAGAGUCGCGACACUGCCAGGAUUACAGAGAUCACUAGUUCAAGAGAGAGCAUUGCUUUGGAUGCCUUGCUUCUUCGGACCACGGGUAAUCGUCUGAAAGGAGUAAAUUUAAUUAUUUCUGAAAUUUGAAACAAGAAUGCAGCCAGGAUAGCAUGAGCCAGGGACGAGACAAAAUUAUUCAGUGAAAAAACCGUGCUGGUUGUUACACCGCUGUUUCUACUUUACGCAUUCGAAAGGCACCCUUCUGCAGCCAUCGUUUAAAUCUGAAUCCACCUUUCUUCUUGGUGAUAUCUGCGUUCUUUUGUAUAACGUCCGUGCUGCAGAUCGGGUUAAUCUUCUUUGCUUCAGAAAUGCCGCUGGCCUCCGUUACGACCUCCUUCAAUGCAGUGGUGUUUGCCUUAUUUUGUGUGCUGAGGUCAGCACUGCCCUUCUCGUCGAUCUUCUCUGCUUGAAUGGUGCCGCCUGCCUCCGUUACAACUUCCUCCAAUGCGAUGAGGUCUUCAGGAAGCGCUGCCACCUGCCCUUCAGCCGCUUGUACUGGCUUGGGAGAAGCCAUCAGAACCUCGUUCUGUCGCGUUGUUAGUCAAUAUUGCAACAUCACAUUCCGAUAUAGCUGAUAUUCCACCAUCUUCAAAGUUCUUUGAGACUCCUUUUCCGCCUGCUGCAUUGUCGCUAUCGUGGAAGUCAAGUUCACGUUUUCAUUGUCUAUGUCGCGUAACUUUGCUUCUAAUUCAGCAAUUUCUUCAGAUGAUCGUUGGCUCACAUCAAACGUACGUUCUAUGUUAUUUCGUUUCCCUCGCGGCCGCUUGCUUUUAAUCGGAUCUGUUUCGGUUCGCCGAAAGGUUCAAUCGUUCUGAUGUUUAUCUAUCAUAUCUGAGACCACUACUACGUGCAGUAGCCUAGUUAAAGUGGGUCAAAUUCACACUGGCUGGAUCUGGACUGUUGGUCGUCCACACCCCCAAAUUUCAAGAUUGUUUUUCUUUGCUUUAUUUUUUCAAUCUUCGAGACAUGCAUUUUUAAUAAACCUUUUUGCUCAUA
Molecule: long non-coding RNA, 1680 nt
Filed under: Daphnia magna
Lineage: Eukaryota; Metazoa; Arthropoda; Branchiopoda; Diplostraca; Daphniidae
Description: uncharacterized LOC123472491
Source: RNAcentral